GAUGAACGCUGGCGGCAUGCCUAACACAUGCAAGUCGAUCGGUAAGGCUCUUCGGAGUACACGAGAGGCGGACGGCUGAGUAACGCGUAGGAACACACCCUGCAGUGAGGGAUAAGACACCGAAAGGUGUUCUAAUACCGCAUACGGUCUUCGGAUUAAAGCAUUUAUGCGCUGAAGGAGUGGCCUGCGUCAUAUUAGAUAGUUGGUGAGGUAGUGGCUCACCAAGUCGAUGAUGUGUAGCUGGUCUGAGAGGAUGAUCAGCCAGACUGGAACUGAGACACGGUCCAGACUCCUACGGGAGGCAGCAGUGAGGAAUAUUUCACAAUGAGCGAAAGCUUGAUGGAGCAAUGCCGCGUGCAGGAUGAAGGCCCUCGGGUUGUAAACUGCUUUUAUAAGAGAAGAUUAUGACGGUAACUUAUGAAUAAGGGACGGCUAACUACGUG
RNAcentral lists this ribosomal RNA (443 nucleotides) under uncultured bacterium. Its description in RNAcentral is "partial 16S ribosomal RNA". It matches the Rfam family "Bacterial small subunit ribosomal RNA", at positions 28 to 507 of the family's 1533-position model. The record is from RNAcentral.